GAAUGCUGACAUAAGUAACGAUAAAGCGGGUGAAAAGCCCGCUCGCCGGAAGACCAAGGGUUCCUGUCCAACGUUAAUCGGGGCAGGGUGAGUCGACCCCUAAGGCGAGGCCGAAAGGCGUAGUCGAUGGGAAACAGGUUAAUAUUCCUGUACUUGGUGUUACUGCGAAGGGGGGACGGAGAAGGCUAUGUUGGCCGGGCGACGGUUGUCCCGGUUUAAGCGUGUAGGCUGGUUUUCCAGGCAAAUCCGGAAAAUCAAGGCUGAGGCGUGAUGACGAGGCACUACGGUGCUGAAGCGACAAAUGCCCUGCUUCCAGGAAAAGCCUCUAAGCAUCAGGUAACAUCAAAUCGUACCCCAAACCGACACAGGUGGUCAGGUAGAGAAUACCAAGGCGCUUGAGAGAACUCGGGUGAAGGAACUAGGCAAAAUGGUGCCGUAACUUCGGGAGAAGGCACGCUGAUAUGUAGGUGAAGCGACUUGCUCGUGGAGCUGAAAUCAGUCGAAGAUACCAGCUGGCUGCAACUGUUUAUUAAAAACACAGCACUGUGCAAACACGAAAGUGGACGUAUACGGUGUGACGCCUGCCCGGUGCCGGAAGGUUAAUUGAUGGGGUUAGCGGUAACGCGAAGCUCUUGAUCGAAGCCCCGGUAAACGGCGGCCGUAACUAUAACGGUCCUAAGGUAGCGAAAUUCCUUGUCGGGUAAGUUCCGACCUGCACGAAUGGCGUAAUGAUGGCCAGGCUGUCUCCACCCGAGACUCAGUGAAAUUGAACUCGCUGUGAAGAUGCAGUGUACCCGCGGCAAGACGGAAAGACCCCGUGAACCUUUACUAUAGCUUGACACUGAACAUUGAGCCUUGAUGUGUAGGAUAGGUGGGAGGCUUUGAAGUGUGGACGCCAGUCUGCAUGGAGCCGACCUUGAAAUACCACCCUUUAAUGUUUGAUGUUCUAACGUGGGCCCCUUACCGGGGUUGCGGACAGUGUCUGGUGGGUAGUUUGACUGGGGCGGUCUCCUCCUAAAGAGUAACGGAGGAGCACGAAGGUUGGCUAAUCCUGGUCGGACAUCAGGAGGUUAGUGCAAUGGCAUAAGCCAGCUUGACUGCGAGCGUGACGGCGCGAGCAGGUGCGAAAGCAGGUCAUAGUGAUCCGGUGGUUCUGAAUGGAAGGGCCAUCGCUCAACGGAUAAAAGGUACUCCGGGGAUAACAGGCUGAUACCGCCCAAGAGUUCAUAUCGACGGCGGUGUUUGGCACCUCGAUGUCGGCUCAUCACAUCCUGGGGCUGAAGUAGGUCCCAAGGGUAUGGCUGUUCGCCAUUUAAAGUGGUACGCGAGCUGGGUUUAGAACGUCGUGAGACAGUUCGGUCCCUAUCUGCCGUGGGCGCUGGAGAACUGAGGGGGGCUGCUCCUAGUACGAGAGGACCGGAGUGGACGCAUCACUGGUGUUCGGGUUGUCAUGCCAAUGGCACUGCCCGGUAGCUAAAUGCGGAAGAGAUAAGUGCUGAAAGCAUCUAAGCACGAAACUUGCCCCGAGAUGAGUUCUCCCUGACUCCUUGAGAGUCC
Molecule: ribosomal RNA, 1557 nt
Filed under: Escherichia coli
Lineage: Bacteria; Pseudomonadati; Pseudomonadota; Gammaproteobacteria; Enterobacterales; Enterobacteriaceae
Description: partial 23S ribosomal RNA
Rfam family: Bacterial large subunit ribosomal RNA
Source: RNAcentral